UAUGGAUGAGAAAUGCGGAUAUGGGACUG
This 29-nucleotide non-coding RNA is filed under the name Cricetulus griseus (Chinese hamster). The record is from RNAcentral. Lineage: Eukaryota; Metazoa; Chordata; Mammalia; Rodentia; Cricetidae.